GACGAACGCUUGCGACGUGCCUAAGAAAUGCAAGUCGAACGGGGGGAGUAAUCCCCUAGUGGCGAACGGUCGCGUAACACGUGGGCAACCUGCCCUGAAGCGGGGGACAACAAUCCGAAAGGAUUGCUAAUACCGCAUGUGAAUCGCUGCGGCAUCGCAGAGGAUUCAAAGCCGCAAGGCACUUCAGGAUGGGCCCGCGGCCUAUCAGCUAGUUGGUGGGGUAACGGCCUACCAAGGCGACGACGGGUAGCUGGUCUGAGAGGACGAUCAGCCGGAU
Molecule: ribosomal RNA, 277 nt
Filed under: uncultured bacterium
Lineage: Bacteria
Description: partial 16S ribosomal RNA
Rfam family: Bacterial small subunit ribosomal RNA
Source: RNAcentral